CACGUAGUUAGCCGGGGCUUCUUAGUCAGGUACCGUCAUUUUCUUCCCUGCUGAUAGGGCUUUACAUACCGAAGUACUUCCUCACCCACGCGGCGUCGCUGCAUCAGGGUUCCCCCAUUGUGCAAUAUUCCCCACUGCUGCCUCCCGUAGGAGUCUGGGCCGUGUCUCAGUCCCAAUGUGGCCGUCCACCCUCUCAGGCCGGCUAUGGAUCGUCGGUUUGGUGGGCCGUUACCCCGCCAACUGCCUAAUCCAACGCGGACCCAUCCUAUGCCGCCUCAGCUUUUCACACCGUACCAUGCGGUACUGUGCGCUUAUGCGGUAUUAGCACCCGUUUCCGGAUGUUAUCCCCCUGCAUAGGGCAGGUUGUCCACGCGUUACUCACCCGUCCGCCGCUAAGCCACAUCCUCUUCCUCCCGAAGGAUUCCAAUGAUGUGCUCCGCUCGACUUGCAUGUGUUAAGCACGCCGCCAGCGUUCAUCCUGAGCCAGGAUCAAACUCU
This 498-nucleotide ribosomal RNA is filed under the name uncultured Marvinbryantia sp. RNAcentral's name for it is "partial 16S ribosomal RNA". The record is from RNAcentral. Lineage: Bacteria; Bacillati; Bacillota; Clostridia; Lachnospirales; Lachnospiraceae.